This 452-nucleotide ribosomal RNA is filed under the name Escherichia coli. RNAcentral's name for it is "bacterial SSU rRNA". It matches the Rfam family "Bacterial small subunit ribosomal RNA", at positions 1 to 449 of the family's 1533-position model. Lineage: Bacteria; Pseudomonadati; Pseudomonadota; Gammaproteobacteria; Enterobacterales; Enterobacteriaceae. The record is from RNAcentral.
AAAUUGAAGAGUUUGAUCAUGGCUCAGAUUGAACGCUGGCGGCAGGCCUAACACAUGCAAGUCGAACGGUAACAGGAAACAGCUUGCUGUUUCGCUGACGAGUGGCGGACGGGUGAGUAAUGUCUGGGAAACUGCCUGAUGGAGGGGGAUAACUACUGGAAACGGUAGCUAAUACCGCAUAACGUCGCAAGACCAAAGAGGGGGACCUUCGGGCCUCUUGCCAUCGGAUGUGCCCAGAUGGGAUUAGCUUGUUGGUGGGGUAACGGCUCACCAAGGCGACGAUCCCUAGCUGGUCUGAGAGGAUGACCAGCCACACUGGAACUGAGACACGGUCCAGACUCCUACGGGAGGCAGCAGUGGGGAAUAUUGCACAAUGGGCGCAAGCCUGAUGCAGCCAUGCCGCGUGUAUGAAGAAGGCCUUCGGGUUGUAAAGUACUUUCAGCGGGGAGGAA